Molecule: ribosomal RNA, 396 nt
Filed under: uncultured bacterium
Lineage: Bacteria
Description: partial 16S ribosomal RNA
Rfam family: Bacterial small subunit ribosomal RNA
Source: RNAcentral
CCUACGGGAGGCUGCAGUGAGGAAUAUUGGUCAAUGGGCGCGAGCCUGAACCAGCCAAGUAGCGUGAAGGAUGACUGCCCUACGGGUUGUAAACUUCUUUUAUAAAGGAAUAAAGUGAGUCACGUGUGCCUUUUUGUAAGUACUUGAUGAAAAAGGAUCGGCUAACUCCGUGCCAGCAGCCGCGGUAAUACGGAGGAUCCGAGCGUUAUCCGGAUUUAUUGGGUUUAAAGGGUGCGUAGGGGGGGUGUGAAGUCAGUUGUGAAAGUUUGCGGCUCAACCGUCAAAUUGCAAUUGAUACUGGAAGCCUUGAGUGCGGGUGAGGUAGGCGGAAUGCGUGGUGUAGCGGUGAAAUGCUUAGAUAUCACGAAGAACUCCGAUUGCGAAGGCAGCAUACUA